ACUGCUCAGUAACACGUAGCUAACCUACCCUCGGGACGGGGAUAACCCCGGGAAACUGGGGCUAAUACCCGAUAGGUGUGGAUUCCUGGAAUGGUGCCAUGCCUAAACGUAAGCGCAUCCAUGUUUGCGUGCACGCCCGAGGAUGGGGCUGCGGCCGAUCAGGCAGUUGGUGAGGUAACGGCUCACCAAACCUUUGACCGGUACGGGCCAUGAGAGUGGUAGCCCGGAGAUGGGCACUGAGACAAGGGCCCAGGCCCUACGGGGCGCAGCAGGCGCGAAACCUCCACAAUUCACGCAAGUGAGAUGGGGUUACCUCGAGUGCCGCCUGAAGAAGGCGGCUUUUCCAUGGUGUAAUGAGCCGUGGGAAUAAGGGGGGGGCAAGACUGGUGUCAGCCGCCGCGGUAACACCAGCCCCCCGAGUGGUGGGGAUGAUUAUUUGGCCUAAAGCGUCCGUAGCCGGCUCUGUAAAUCUCUCGUUAAAUCCAGCGUCCCAAGCGUUGGGCUGCGAGGGAGACUGCAGAGCUAGAGGGUGGGAGAGGUCAGCGGUAUUCCUGGGGUAGGGGCGAAAUCCAUUGAUCCCAGGAGGACCACCAGUGGCGAAGGCUGCUGACUAGAACACGCCUGACGGUGAGGGACGAAAGCUGGGGUAGCGAAUCGGAUUAGAUACCCGAGUAGUCCCAGCCGUAAACGAUGCAGGCUAGGUGUUGGGUCGGCCACGCGCCGCCUCAGUGCCACAGGGAAGCCAUUAAGCCUGCCGCCUGGGGAGUACGGCCGCAAGGCUGAAACUUAAAGGAAUUGGCGGGGGAGCACCACCAGGCGUGAAGCCUGCGGUUUAAUUGGAGUCAACGCCGGAAA
RNAcentral lists this ribosomal RNA (855 nucleotides) under uncultured archaeon. RNAcentral describes it as "bacterial SSU rRNA". It matches the Rfam family "Archaeal small subunit ribosomal RNA", at positions 85 to 924 of the family's 1478-position model. The record is from RNAcentral.